GCGUAAAGAGCUCGUAGGUGGUUUGUCGCGUUGUUCGUGAAAUCUCACGGCUUAACUGUGAGCGUGCGGGCGAUACGGGCAGACUUGAGUACUGCAGGGGAGACUGGAAUUCCUGGUGUAGCGGUGGAAUGCGCAGAUAUCAGGAGGAACACCGGUGGCGAAGGCGGGUCUCUGGGCAGUAACUGACGCUGAGGAGCGAAAGCGUGGGGAGCGAACAGGAUUAGAUACCCUGGUAGUCCACGCCGUAAACGGUGGGUACUAGGUGUGGGUUUCCUUCCUUGGGAUCCGUGCCGUAGCUAACGCAUUAAGUACCCCGCCUGGGGAGUACGGCCGCAAGGCUAAAACUCAAAGAAAUUGACGGGGGCCCGCACAAGCGGCGGAGCAUGUGGAUUAAUUCGAUGCAACGCGAAGAACCUUACCUGGGUUUGACAUGCACAGGACGCCGGCAGAGAUGUCGGUUCCCUUGUGGCCUGUGUGCAGGUGGUGCAUGGCUGUCGUCAGCUCGUGUCGUGAGAUGUUGGGUUAAGUCCCGCAACGAGCGCAACCCUUGUCUCAUGUUGCCAGCGGGUAAUGCCGGGGACUCGUGAGAGACUGCCGGGGUCAACUCGGAGGAAGGUGGGGAUGACGUCAAGUCAUCAUGCCCCUUAUGUCCAGGGCUUCACACAUGCUACAAUGGCCGGUACAAAGGGCUGCGAUGCCGCGAGGUUAAGCGAAUCCUUUUAAAGCCGGUCUCAGUUCGGAUCGGGGUCUGCAACUCGACCCCGUGAAGUCGGAGUCGCUAGUAAUCGCAGAUCAGCAACGCUGCGGU
This 808-nucleotide ribosomal RNA is filed under the name uncultured Mycobacterium sp. RNAcentral's name for it is "bacterial SSU rRNA". It matches the Rfam family "Bacterial small subunit ribosomal RNA", at positions 558 to 1363 of the family's 1533-position model. Lineage: Bacteria; Bacillati; Actinomycetota; Actinomycetes; Mycobacteriales; Mycobacteriaceae. The record is from RNAcentral.